This 74-nucleotide transfer RNA is filed under the name Ecklonia radiata. RNAcentral's name for it is "tRNA-His". It matches the Rfam family "tRNA". Rfam says of the family: Transfer RNA (tRNA) molecules are approximately 80 nucleotides in length. The record is from RNAcentral. Lineage: Eukaryota; Phaeophyceae; Laminariales; Lessoniaceae. RNAcentral also lists the same sequence under 1 other name.
GCGAGUGUAACUCAGUUGGUUAGAGUGUUAGGUUGUGGCUCUAAAAGACGGGGGUUCAAGUCCCCUCUCCCGCC